This 424-nucleotide ribosomal RNA is filed under the name uncultured Bacteroides sp. RNAcentral describes it as "bacterial SSU rRNA". It matches the Rfam family "Bacterial small subunit ribosomal RNA", at positions 355 to 776 of the family's 1533-position model. The record is from RNAcentral. Lineage: Bacteria; Pseudomonadati; Bacteroidota; Bacteroidia; Bacteroidales; Bacteroidaceae.
UGAGGAAUAUUGGUCAAUGGGCGCUAGCCUGAACCAGCCAAGUAGCGUGAAGGAUGACUGCCCUAUGGGUUGUAAACUUCUUUUAUAUGGGAAUAAAGUGCAGUAUGUAUACUGCUUUGCAUGUACCUUAUGAAUAAGGAUCGGCUAACUCCGUGCCAGCAGCCGCGGUAAUACGGAGGAUCCGAGCGUUAUCCGGAUUUAUUGGGUUUAAAGGGAGCGUAGGCGGGUUGUUAAGUCAGUUGUGAAAGUUUGCGGCUCAAUCGUAAAAUUGCAGUUGAUACUGGCAUCCUUGAGUACAGUAGAGGUAGGCGGAAUUCGUGGUGUAGCGGUGAAAUGCUUAGAUAUCACGAAGAACUCCGAUUGCGAAGGCAGCCUGCUGGACUGUAACUGACGCUGAUGCUCGAAAGUGUGGGUAUCAAACAGG